Homo sapiens (human) is the source of this 1387-nucleotide long non-coding RNA. Ensembl annotates it as long intergenic non-protein coding RNA 2506. NCBI's taxonomy places the organism in Eukaryota, Metazoa, Chordata, Mammalia, Primates, Hominidae. The record is from Ensembl.
GGUAACCCCCUUGGAUCCCCUUCCACACUGUGGGAGGUUUGUUCUUUUGCUCUUUGCAAUAAAGCUUGCUGCUGCUCACUCUUUGGGUCCAGACUGUCUUUAUGAGCUAUAACACUCACCGGGAAGGUCUGCAGCUUCACUCCUGAAGCCAAGGAGACCACGAACCCACCGGGAGGAAGGAACAACUACAGACACGCCGGCUUAAGAGCUGUAGCACUCACUGCGAAGGUCCGCAGCUUCACUCUUGAGCCAGAGACCACGAACCCACCAGAAGGAAGAAACUCCAAACACAUCCGAACAUCAGAAGGAAAAAACUCCAGACACGCCGCCUUUAAGAACUGCAACACUGCGAGGGUCCGCGGCUUCAUUCUUGAAGUCAGUGAGACCAAGAACCCACCAAUUCCAGACACACUACCAAAGGCAGAGGGGAGCUCCUAGACAAAGAUAUUUUGCUUACAAAUGGAACAUAUCAAAUCAAGCUUUUGUGAACUUGAGGGAAGAAACAAAGAAUAUGAAGCCUAAAUGGAAGUGUCAGGAAAUGGUCGCCUUGCGGACAAGGAAACAGCAGCCUGGAAGGCCAGGAGAGGGCAGACUACCCACCUAACCCUCUGCAGAAUUUUGUGUGGACCCUGGAGACCAGAAACUAACUUCUCCUGCAGAGACAAGGUCUUGCUCUGUCACCCUGGCUGGUCUUGAACUCCUGGCUUCAAGCAAUUCAUCCAUCUCAGCCUCCUGAGUAGCUGGGAUUACAGGCUGGAGUGUAGUGGUACGAUCUUGGCUUACUGCAACCUCCACCUCCUGGGUUCAAGCGGCCCUGUCAUCUCAGCCUCCUGAGUAGCUGGGGUUACAGAGCUCCUUUCUGACAACUUGCAAUUGAUCCAACAUUUGAAACCUUAUGCAGGAGCCGGACAGCUUGGUUUUGAAUUAUAAUCUUACAAAUUACUGGCUGUGUGUUAAAUCUUUAAAUUACUGGCUGUGUGACUUUGUGUAAGUACCUUCACUUCUCUGUGCCUUAGUUUAUGUUAUGUAAAAGGUAUGAUAAUAGUAUCUAUCUUGGAAUUUAGUUUUUAAAUAUAAAAUUUAUAUAUCUACAACAGCUGAAUAAGUGUUAUCUAUCUUUAUUACCAUUGCAAUUAUUAUUAUAAUUAUUUGUAUAUGUCGGGCUCAUAAAGCUCUUAGCUUUGCAAAACUGUCUGAGAAAGUUUGCUUUUCUUUGCAUUCAUUGGGAAAUUAACUUUUCUACACAAUAAUGUUUUUAAGGCAUGGACCUGUAAAAUGUUUAAUUGGUGUGGCUUCAAAGUAUAGAAAUUGUAAAGUAGGAAAUAAUUAUACACAACUAUCAAACCAAUAAUAAAGGUCAAUAAAUAUUCAAACAGUAUUAAUAUAA